CGGGUGAGUAACGCGUGAGGAACCUGCCUCAAAGAGGGGGACAACAGUUGGAAACGACUGCUAAUACCGCAUAAGCCCACGGCUCGGCAUCGAGCAGAGGGAAAAGGAGCAAUCCGCUUUGAGAUGGCCUCGCGUCCGAUUAGCUAGUUGGUGAGGUAACGGCCCAUCAAGGCGACGAUCGGUAGCCGGACUGAGAGGUUGAACGGCCACAUUGGGACUGAGACACGGCCCAG
Molecule: ribosomal RNA, 233 nt
Filed under: uncultured bacterium
Lineage: Bacteria
Description: partial 16S ribosomal RNA
Rfam family: Bacterial small subunit ribosomal RNA
Source: RNAcentral